CUCCUCCUGAGGUCGGGGUUACUGUGAAGGGACGGAGUUCAUGUCAGAGAUGUGCUUCCAUCCACGGGUGUCAAGCUACACUGCAGGAGGAGCCAUCACCAGGGAAGCAGGUGGCAGAAGUGAGAAGUGAGAGCUGCCACAUGACCCCACCCUGGCGUUGUGUACCUGGCACGGACAGCCUGAGCUGGCCGGGACCCUCCGGCCCCACUGGUGUUAAGGGCAGUGGCAAUAGACGAGGUUCUCUGAGGAACCUGGAAAGAACAGGCGUUGACAAGCCCUGUCAGUCAUGUGCAGAUGUCACACACAUUCAACCCCAACCUAAGAAAUGUAGUCUUCAGCAUCCACGGAGAAACAAACAGGUCAGAAAAUGAGAAGUUGUGGAUUCAUUCUGAGUUAAGAAAAAUCAGGUUUGAUCAAGGAAGACCACCUGAGAGAUCUCUGGUGGAAAGAGAUGGCCCAGAUGUCAGAGUUCUGCAUCCAGAACAGAUUCAAGAUGCUGCCUGAGAUGAUCAAGCCCCACAGGAUACUCCAGUCAGGACUUGAUCAUAAUUCUAAAUUUUCUUUAGGUCCCCAUAAGAUUAUCAGUGCCCCCAACCAGCAGAAAGAAGCCUAGAAAACCAUGCCCACAUUCCCCCCAAAAAUGGACUAUGGAUAUUUCCCUUUAUUUAAAAAAAAAAAAAAAAACAGAGGGGGAAGUGGUGUGGGACAAUAGUAUUCUGCCAAUUAUAUUUUAAAUAAACACUGAUUGGUCAGUAGCCAGACAGGAAGUAUAGGCGGGACAACCAGAUAGGAAGUAGAGUCGGGUCAGGAGUAUUCUGGGAAGAAGGAAGCUUUUUCUGCAGUUGUGAGCCCGCCACAGAAGAAGCAAGAUGUGACUGCCUUGCUGAAAAAGGUACUGAGCCAUGUGUCUAACAUAUACUAAAAUAAUGGGCUAAUAUAAGUUAUAAGAGUUAAUAAGAAGCCUGAGCUAAUGGGCCAGUUAGUUUAUAGUUAAUGUAGACCUCUGUGUGAUUUCUUUGGGACUUAACGAUUGCAGGAAUUGGGCAGGACAGAAACCCCGACAACAGCCACCUUUAUAUAUCACCCUUUGGUACCAAGCAACUGGCUCUUUCUCAGCCCCCACUGUCACUGCUGUCUCCACCCUCUGGAUGCGAACCCUUGCAUGGCUGCCUUGCUUUCUUCCUUCCCACUCUCAACUCUAUUCUCUUGUCCUUCAGGGUUGU
Long non-coding RNA from Alexandromys fortis (reed vole), 1223 nucleotides. RefSeq lists it as uncharacterized. The transcript is spliced from 3 exons. Lineage: Eukaryota; Metazoa; Chordata; Mammalia; Rodentia; Cricetidae. The record is from RefSeq and is a predicted model, not a curated record.